GACAACAGUUCUCAUAGGAGCAAUCGCUCUAGGAAAUCAAGACAUGGUCGAAAAGCAAAGAAAAAGUCUUCAUCAAAAUCUUUGAGACCCCAGAGAGCUGCUGCUCGCAAUGCCCUUCAUUUGUUUUCCAGAAUUACAGGGACAUCUACUGAAGGAGAAGAUGAAUAUGGUUCAGAAAGUGAUUCAUCUGAUAGUGAGUCCACACUUCAGGACUCAAACAAUGGAAAUGAAGAUUCG
RNAcentral lists this unclassified non-coding RNA (237 nucleotides) under Hevea brasiliensis (rubber tree). The record is from RNAcentral. Lineage: Eukaryota; Viridiplantae; Streptophyta; Magnoliopsida; Malpighiales; Euphorbiaceae.